CCUACGGGCGGCAGCAGUGGGGAAUAUUGGACAAUGGGGGGAACCCUGAUCCAGCCAUGCCGCGUGUGUGAAGAAGGCCCUCGGGUUGUAAAGCACUUUCAGUGAGGAAGAACGCCUGGUGGUUAAUACCCAUCAGGAAAGACAUCACUCACAGAAGAAGCACCGGCUAACUCCGUGCCAGCAGCCGCGGUAAUACGGAGGGUGCGAGCGUUAAUCGGAAUUACUGGGCGUAAAGCGCGCGUAGGUGGCUUGAUAAGCCGGUUGUGAAAGCCCCGGGCUCAACCUGGGAACGACAUCCGGAACUGUCAAGCUAGAGUGCAGGAGAGGAAGGUAGAAUUCCCGGUGUAGCGGUGAAAUGCGUAGAGAUCGGGAGGAAUACCAGUGGCGAAGGCGGCCUUCUGGACUGACACUGACACUGAGGUGCGAAAGCGUGGGUAGCAAACAGGAUUAGAUACCCGAGUAGUC
This 465-nucleotide ribosomal RNA is filed under the name Vreelandella stevensii. Its description in RNAcentral is "partial 16S ribosomal RNA". It matches the Rfam family "Bacterial small subunit ribosomal RNA", at positions 338 to 795 of the family's 1533-position model. Lineage: Bacteria; Pseudomonadati; Pseudomonadota; Gammaproteobacteria; Oceanospirillales; Halomonadaceae. The record is from RNAcentral.